RNAcentral lists this unclassified non-coding RNA (433 nucleotides) under Hevea brasiliensis (rubber tree). The record is from RNAcentral. Lineage: Eukaryota; Viridiplantae; Streptophyta; Magnoliopsida; Malpighiales; Euphorbiaceae.
UUUUUUCAAUCAACAACACCAACAAAAAUCAUCAUUGAAAAAUUACAAUUUAUAGAUUUGAAUAAUUACAUUCAAAUAAAUAAUUAUAUUCAACAGUAAAAAAUAUCAUUGAAGCAUUCACUCAUCAUCGACGAUCUCUCACCAUAAGGCACAUCGACAACAGGUCUCCAUCUCUAAUGGCAUCGAGGCGAACUCAGUGAAUGGUCUUCUGAUGGUUUCGAGAUGAGGAUGUGUUGGGGUCUCUGUCUAAUGGGUCGAGUGAACAUUGGUAGUACGAUGCACUGAUCAAAGAGAACAACGUGAUGAAGACCAAAAACAGAAAUUAGAUGCAGUUUAGCCUUUACAUGUAGAAAGAUCAAAGAGUGCAAAGGAGGAGGAUGAGCAAGAUGGGGAAGGACGAUUGCUAGAGACUAAAGGUGUCUCUAUGGAAAAG